GGGUGCGAUCAUACCAUCAGAAAUCCGCAACUAAGCGUGCUAUGGCAAGAGUAGUACUAGGAUGGUUGACCUCUUGGGAAGUUCUCGUGUUGCAUCCC
Molecule: ribosomal RNA, 98 nt
Filed under: Beta vulgaris subsp. vulgaris (sugar beet)
Lineage: Eukaryota; Viridiplantae; Streptophyta; Magnoliopsida; Caryophyllales; Amaranthaceae
Source: RNAcentral